RNAcentral lists this ribosomal RNA (203 nucleotides) under uncultured bacterium. RNAcentral describes it as "partial 16S ribosomal RNA". It matches the Rfam family "Bacterial small subunit ribosomal RNA", at positions 524 to 726 of the family's 1533-position model. The record is from RNAcentral.
UACGUAGGGUGCGAGCGUUAAUCGGAAUUACUGGGCGUAAAGCGUGCGCAGGCGGCUUUGCAAGACAGAUGUGAAAUCCCCGGGCUCAACCUGGGAACUGCAUUUGUGACUGCUAGGCUAGAGUACGGCAGAGGGGGAUGGAAUUCCGCGUGUAGCAGUGAAAUGCGCAGAUAUGCGGAGGAACACCAAUGGCGAAGGCAAGC